This 469-nucleotide ribosomal RNA is filed under the name uncultured bacterium. RNAcentral's name for it is "bacterial SSU rRNA". It matches the Rfam family "Bacterial small subunit ribosomal RNA", at positions 54 to 512 of the family's 1533-position model. The record is from RNAcentral.
CAUGCAAGUCGAGGGGCAGCAUGAUCUUAGCUUGCUAAGGUUGAUGGCGACCGGCGCACGGGUGCGUAACGCGUAUGCAACUUGCCUUACAGAGGGGGAUAACCCGUUGAAAGACGGACUAAAACCGCAUACACUUGUAUUAUUGCAUGAUAUUACAAGGAAAUAUUUAUAGCUGUAAGAUAGGCAUGCGUCCCAUUAGCUGGUUGGUGAGGUAACGGCUCACCAAGGCGACGAUGGGUAGGGGAACUGAGAGGUUUAUCCCCCACACUGGUACUGAGACACGGACCAGACUCCUACGGGAGGCAGCAGUGAGGAAUAUUGGUCAAUGGGCGAGAGCCUGAACCAGCCAAGUCGCGUGAAGGAAGACAGUCCUAAGGAUUGUAAACUUCUUUUAUACGGGAAUAACGGGCGAUACGAGUAUUGCAUUGAAUGUACCGUAAGAAUAAGCAUCGGCUAACUCCGUGCCAGC